Molecule: ribosomal RNA, 403 nt
Filed under: uncultured bacterium
Lineage: Bacteria
Description: partial 16S ribosomal RNA
Rfam family: Bacterial small subunit ribosomal RNA
Source: RNAcentral
AUUGAACGCUGGCGGCAGGCCUAACACAUGCAAGUCGAGCGAGCGGCGGACGGGUGAGUAAUGGAUGGGGACUGCCUGACCGAGGGGGAUAACUACUGUAAACGGUGGCUAAUACCGCAUACUGCCCGAUAAACCAUAGUGGAGUAGCUAGUAGGUGGGGUAAAGGCUCAUCUAGGCGACGAUCCCUAGCUGGUCUGAGAGGAUGAUCAGCCACACUGGGACGGAGACACGGCCCAGACUCCUACGGAGGCAGCAGUGGGGAAUAUUGCACAAUGGGCGCAAGCCUGAUGCAGCAAUGCCGCGUGUAUGAAGAAGGCCUUAGGGUUGUAAAGUACUUUCAGCGGAGAGGCGUUACCCGAACAAGAAGCAACGGCUAACUCCGUGCCAGCAGCCGCGGUAAUUC